UGUGAGUGAAGAAGGCCUUCGGGUCGUAAAGCUCUGUCAAGUGGGAAUAAAGUCCCUCGGUGAAUACCCGAGGGAUCUGAAGGUACCACUAAAGGAAACACCGGCUAACUCCGUGCCAGCAGCCGCGGUAAUACGGAGGGUGCAAGCGUUAUUCGGAUUUAUUGGGCGUAAAGAGCGUGUAGGCGGUUGGGAUAGUCAGACGUGAAAGCCUUCUGCUCAACAGAAGAAGUACGUCUGAAACUGCCCAACUUGAGUACGAGAGAGGAAAGUGGAAUUCCCAAUGUAGAGGUGAAAUUCGUAGAUAUUGGGAGGAACACCUGUGGCGAAGGCGACUUUCUGGAUCGAUACUGACGCUGAGACGCGAAAGCGUGGGUAGCAAACAGGAUUAGAUACCCUGGUAGUCCGCGCUGUAAACGAUGGGAACUAGGUGUAGCGGGUAUUGAUCCCUGCUGUGCCAAAGCUAACGCAUUAA
This 472-nucleotide ribosomal RNA is filed under the name uncultured delta proteobacterium. RNAcentral describes it as "bacterial SSU rRNA". It matches the Rfam family "Bacterial small subunit ribosomal RNA", at positions 400 to 863 of the family's 1533-position model. The record is from RNAcentral. Lineage: Bacteria; Deltaproteobacteria.